GCUGGGUGUGGUGGCUCACGCCUGUAAUCCCAGCACUUUGGGAGGCCGAGGCUGGUGGAUCACCUGAGGUCAGGAGUUCGAGACCAGCCUGGCCAACAUGGUGAAACCCCGUCUCUA
Papio anubis (olive baboon) is the source of this 117-nucleotide unclassified non-coding RNA. It matches the Rfam family "Metazoan signal recognition particle RNA". From Rfam's summary of the family: The signal recognition particle (SRP) is a universally conserved ribonucleoprotein. It is involved in the co-translational targeting of proteins to membranes. The record is from Ensembl. Lineage: Eukaryota; Metazoa; Chordata; Mammalia; Primates; Cercopithecidae.